RNAcentral lists this ribosomal RNA (473 nucleotides) under uncultured bacterium. RNAcentral describes it as "bacterial SSU rRNA". It matches the Rfam family "Bacterial small subunit ribosomal RNA", at positions 335 to 799 of the family's 1533-position model. The record is from RNAcentral.
ACUCCUACGGGAGGCAGCAGUGGGGAAUAUUGCACAAUGGGCGCAAGCCUGAUGCAGCCAUGCCGCGUGUGUGAAGAAGGCCUUCGGGUUGUAAAGCACUUUCAGUCGUGAGGAAGGUAGUGUAGUUAAUAGCUGCAUUAUUUGACGUUAGCGACAGAAGAAGCACCGGCUAACUCCGUGCCAGCAGCCGCGGUAAUACGGAGGGUGCGAGCGUUAAUCGGAAUUACUGGGCGUAAAGCGCAUGCAGGUGGUUUGUUAAGUCAGAUGUGAAAGCCCGGGGCUCAACCUCGGAAUAGCAUUUGAAACUGGCAGACUAGAGUACUGUAGAGGGGGGUAGAAUUUCAGGUGUAGCGGUGAAAUGCGUAGAGAUCUGAAGGAAUACCGGUGGCGAAGGCGGCCCCCUGGACAGAUACUGACACUCAGAUGCGAAAGCGUGGGGAGCAAACAGGAUUAGAUACCCUGGUAGCACAGAG